This 49-nucleotide ribosomal RNA is filed under the name Ganoderma lucidum. Its description in RNAcentral is "partial 25S ribosomal RNA". RNAcentral also lists the same sequence under 2 other names. The record is from RNAcentral. Lineage: Eukaryota; Fungi; Basidiomycota; Agaricomycetes; Polyporales; Polyporaceae.
UGACCUCUGACCUCAAAUCAGGUAGGACUACCCGCUGAACUUAAGCAUA